UCGGUAGCUCAGUCGGUAGAGCAGAGGACUGAAAAUCCUCGUGUCGGCGGUUCGAUUCCGUCCCGA
Molecule: transfer RNA, 66 nt
Filed under: Bacillus anthracis (anthrax bacterium)
Lineage: Bacteria; Bacillati; Bacillota; Bacilli; Caryophanales; Bacillaceae
Also listed under: 5 other names
Description: tRNA-Phe
Rfam family: tRNA
About the family: Transfer RNA (tRNA) molecules are approximately 80 nucleotides in length.
Source: RNAcentral